Molecule: non-coding RNA, 2068 nt
Organism: Sesamum indicum (sesame)
Lineage: Eukaryota; Viridiplantae; Streptophyta; Magnoliopsida; Lamiales; Pedaliaceae
Source: RefSeq, a predicted model, not a curated record
AUGCCAUCACUUGCAGGGCUGGUAAGAAAGAAACCUCUGAUGUGCUAAUAUACACGGAUCAGAUUCCUUCUAUGUGCCAAAGCAUGUGUGCGGGGUCAAGACCUCAAAUAUGAUUCUUCAUCUGAUUCAAGCACCGCCAAAGAAAGUGAGAGGUAUGAUGCAGUUGCUGCUGACCAAGCCCAUGUUCCACUUUCUCUGACUGCUCAAACCGUAGCAUCCCCUGUGAUCCAUGUGAUCGUGGCAGCAGUGAUUAGACAAAAUGGAAGUUUCUGGAAGUGUUGGACUGUUACAAAAUGAUUGAAAUGAAACGGCUGACUUGGAAGAUGCUUAGAUCCAUAUGCCAGAAGGUGAUCCUACUGCCAAAAUACUUACUGGAUUUUGUGUAUAGGACGUCAUUAAAGCUGAGAAGGAAAUGGAACAGUCUAAGAGGGAAAAUCCACCAUUACCUUCCGAAAAUGCAUCUAAGUCUAGCAAGGCGAAAAUGAGGGGAGUAUCAUUGAAAUGUCAGAAGUCCGGCACCAUAUUACAGCAUAUUACAGGUCUUAGCACUGGGUAGGCCAGGUAUGCUUCAAUGUUUUGAGAGCGAAGCAAAAGCAGGAAAAAAAAUCAAGCAGUGGAACAUACGAUGUGUGGAAACUCUUGCCAUUAUGUGCAGUGGAGAAGCUUACCUUUGAACUGGCCCCUAUACAUUAUACACCUAGUGGUGCUUGCGUCAUUACAUUUGCAUAAUUGUAGCUGAUGGAAGUGCUCUUACAAAGGCAAGGAUUGGGAAAAAGAAAAAUGACGACGAAACUGAAGAAUGGUGGCUCCCAAUGUGACAAGUGUGAAGCGUGGCAUCAUCAAAUUUGUGCAUUUAUUCUAUGGUAGAAGAAACAAUGGUGGACAAGCUAACUACACUUGUCCAAGUUGUUUUAUAGAAGAAGUUGAGAGAGGUGACCAUGUGCCAUUACCGCAGAGUGCUGUUCUAGGAGCCAAGGAUUUGCCUAGAACAAUUUUGAGUGAUCACAUGGGGCAGCGAUUAUUUGCAAAGCUGAAGCAAGAAAGACAGGACACAACAAGGCUUCAAAGCAAAAGUUAUGGUGCCUGGAGCAUAAGCAAUUGUACUAAGAGUGGUGUCAUCAGUGGACAAGAAGUUGGAAGUUAGACCAGGGUUUCUUGAAAUUUUCCCAGAGGGAGAUUAUCCUACAGAACACCCCUAUAAAUCUAAGGUAAUACUAUUUAUUAAACCAUUUCUUCAGAAAAUUGAAGGUGUUGAAGUGUGGCUAGUUGGGAUGUACGUUCAAGAAUUUGGAUCCAAAUGUCAGCAGCCUAAGCAUCACCGAGUCUACCUAUCUUACCUGGACUCUUAAGUAUUUCAGGCCUGAGGCCAAAGCAAUGACUGGAGAGGUUUGCAAACAUUUUUGUACCACGAAACUUUGGCAAGUAUUCUGGACCCAUUGUUCUUUUGCUACAUUGGAGUUUCAAUACCUGGUCUGUUAGUACCAUCACUUAUAUUUUCAGAUUGGAUACUUAGAAUACUGCAAAAAGCGUGGUUUCACAAGCUUUUAUAUAUGGGCUUUCCCUCCGAUGAAAGGGGAAGAUUACAUUUUGUAUUGCCACCCAGAAAUUCAGAAUACAGCAAACUCGCAUAAACUAAGGGAGUAGUAAGUUUGAUGGUUGUUUGAUCAUGAGAAUGUAGAUUGCGAGUGGUGAGUGAAUGUAAAGCAGAGGUAACCGCAACUCGAUUGCCAUAGUUUGAUGGAGAUUAUUGGCCUGGUGUUGCAGAGGACAUGAUCUAUCAACUACAUGUGUAUUUCAUUUUUCUAAAUACUAUUCUAUUUUUAAUUUUUGGUGAUUUAGUGGUGCUAUCGAGCUUUCUUGUUAUUGGUAGACGCUUUGGAUAGCCAAAAGAAAGAAAGGAAAGAAGAGAAGGGAUGUUGCGGUUUUGGUGCUUAAUCUUUGUUUCUUCAUUCUUAACCAACCUUCUCUCUCUUCAUGGUUGGAGACAGGGGCACCUGAGGAAGUAGUACUGCUUAUUAAGUGUAAUAAACAACAAUUGACUAGAGGAUCCGAGAGAAGGGGAAUAAGU